Non-coding RNA from Yarrowia lipolytica, 70 nucleotides. Lineage: Eukaryota; Fungi; Ascomycota; Dipodascomycetes; Dipodascales. The record is from Rfam.
GACCUUAUCGUCAAACGUAAGACGUUAGAACUUCACUCUAAAAAUACGGGUUCAAGUCCCGUUAAGGUUA